This is an RNA transcript of Drosophila grimshawi, 1036 nucleotides long. RefSeq lists it as uncharacterized. NCBI's taxonomy places the organism in Eukaryota, Metazoa, Arthropoda, Insecta, Diptera, Drosophilidae. The transcript is spliced from 2 exons. The record is from RefSeq and is a predicted model, not a curated record.
UAUAUUAUUUAUUUAUUUUAUUUUAAUAUAUAAUUAUAUUCUAUAUUUUUCUAUAUCUGAUUGCGAAAUACUUUGCAAAUUAUAUGGUGCCUUCAUUGCUUUGCUGAGACAACCCUUACGAUGUAUUCGUAUUGGCAUCGGAAUUGCAAUCGCAUUCAAAUCGAUUUCGAUUAAUCAAAAUUUUGACUCUCAUUGGUAUCUGGAAUAGUUCAUUCGGAUCGGCAAGUUUGUUAUGCUCCAAGAUUAAUGUAUCUAGGCCUGGCAAGGAUUCGCCAAUUUCAUUUGGGAGACGGUUUAUUUUGUUAUGCAAAAGAUUAAUAUAUUUGGUGCUUUUAAAGUUGUACUUGAGCAGCUUAUCGGGCAGUGUUGUGUAAUUAUUUCCGAUAUUCGAGAGUGUCUUCCGAUAUUCAAGACUGUCUUUCGAUAUUCAAGAGUGCAUCACUGCUUCUUGCCAAAGCGAAGCAUGCGAACAGCUCGUUGCCUCCUCGUAGGUUGCUGGAAUGGGCACAUCACUUACAACCAUUGCGCUGAGUAUAUUAAAUUGCUUCCUUGGGCGACUAGGUCUGCCCGUUCUUAGCAAUUUCGAUCUUCCAGGCUCAAUUCGUGGGAUCUGCUCUUCCUCCAGGUUUUUGUCAUCUUUUGCACUUUCAAAAGAUUCAGGUGUAUCUGAGUGAGAUUUUCUUCUUUGCAGUGACCUUCGCACUAAGCCUCUGUCUAACUGUAAAUACCUGCCCAACAUUGCUGAGCUUUCUGCGCUCUCUUUCCUCCUGCCUUCUUCCUUCAACUUUAUACAUGGAAUUUCAAACGUUGGAGGACCGUCGCACGUCUCGAUGGCGACAACAAAAUUCUCAUGGAUCGGGAAAGCAAAACAAUGACCUUGAGCUCGUCAACUAUUGCUACGAAUAUAAUGAUAUUUGUUGGGUUGAAAUCUUCUAUGUCUCUGAAAUUCAAAACAUGCAUCCCCAGGCUGCUGCGUCUUCUUCUAGUUAGGGCGACACAUUCUGCUAGGAUUUUCAUCGAGGAUUCCUCCUUUAUA